Molecule: long non-coding RNA, 1311 nt
Filed under: Mus musculus (house mouse)
Lineage: Eukaryota; Metazoa; Chordata; Mammalia; Rodentia; Muridae
Description: RIKEN cDNA 1810013D15 gene
Source: RNAcentral
CCACGUGGGACACCUCAGCACUGAGGUGCAGCACUCAGCCCAGAGAUCCCCUUUGUCUGCAGGAUAGGGACGCAACCUCCAGCAGCCUCGCGUGGCCCCAGAGUUCCGGCAAGGGUCACGCAGGCAGGUGCUUCCCUCGGAUCUGAGGACCGCCACAGCUGUGCCACCAGCGCCCGCGUCUCUACUCUGGCCAAGAUCAGGCCUUAAGGCCCAAGCUUUGCUCCCAAAAAGACGUAGCUUUGACCUAAUUUUACACCUUGUCCGAGAACUGGGGAAUUUAAGGAGUUUCUGUACCUGGGAAGUCGAACCUAAAACUUUGUUUUUUUUUUUGUUUUUUUUUUUUAAGAUUUAUUUAUAUUUACUUAUUAUUAUAUGUAAGUACACUGUAGCUGUCUUCAGACACACCAGAAGAGGGAGUCAGAUCUCGUUACGGAUGGUUGUGAGCCACCAUGUGGUUGCCGGGAUUUGAACUCAGGACCUUCAGAAGAGCAGUCGGGUGCUCUUACCUGUUGAGCCAUCUCACCAGCCCGAACCUAAAACUUUGAAACACUGUUGAACGAAUUUGGAAGGUGUUAAGGAAUAAACAACUGAUUUUAAAAGCUACGGUUUGGAAAAGCUACGAAGAGCAAACACAAUCAGUAUGCUUUUCAAAUUAGCUCCAGACACAAUCACCUUCCAGAACCAAGUGUACACUGCCAGAGGCACAGGGGAAGCGGGUAGCCUCUGAAACACUAACGGGUUACCAUGCUUGCUUGAUUAGUAUUUCUCCUUUUAAAGUAUGUUCUCAGCCUGAGUAUAUUUUAACGAUGUGUUUGUGUGUGUGUGUGUGUGUGUGUGUGUGUGUGUGUGUGUAUUGCACCACAUGCAUACUUGAUGUCUACAGAGGUCAGAAAGGCUGUUGGAUUCCCCUGGAACUGCAUUUGGAAACAGAUGUGAUCUGCGUGUGGGAGAGAAAGCCAAGCCCUGGUGCUCUGGAACCAAUGCUCCUGCGGGCAAUGCUCUUGCUCCCUGAGCCAUCUCUAAAGACGAACAUACACCCACCUUUUCAAGGAUGUCUGCUUUUCGGCAGAUUGGUCCACGCCCCUCCUGUGCCCAUGAGCUUCCAGAGCUGUGAGGUCUCCCCCACCCACAUUGGGAUCCACCUGUUCCAGACUUCACUUUAUCCUUCUUUGCCUGGAUACCCUGAGGGAAGAAGUGAAAAAUGGAACAACAGAUAAGGAAACAGAAGCAGCAGCUCAGAUAACUUACUUGAGGUGAGUUUCUCUGGGCCUAAGAAGACAAUGGCUGUGUACCAAUUCCCCACUGUCAGAC